GACGAACGCUGGCGGCGUGCUUAACACAUGCAAGUCGAACGGAAAGGCCCCUUUGGGGGUACUCGAGUGGCGAACGGGUGAGUAACACGUGAGUAACCUGCCCUUGACUUCGGGAUAACUUCAGGAAACUGGGGCUAAUACCAGAUAGGAAUCCUUGCUGCAUGGUGGGGGUUGGAAAGCUUCGGCGGUUUUGGAUGGACUCGCGGCUUAUCAGCUUGUUGGUGGGGUAGUGGCUUACCAAGGCUUUGACGGGUAGCCGGCCUGAGAGGGCGACCGGCCACAUUGGGACUGAGAUACGGCCCAGACUCCUACGGGAGGCAGCAGUGGGGAAUAUUGCACAAUGGGCGGAAGCCUGAUGCAGCAACGCCGCGGGCGGGAUGACGGCCUUCGGGUUGUAAACCGCUUUCAGCAGGGGCGAAGCUUGUGGUGACGGUACCUGCAGAAGAAGCACCGGCUAACUACGUG
This 465-nucleotide ribosomal RNA is filed under the name uncultured bacterium. RNAcentral describes it as "partial 16S ribosomal RNA". It matches the Rfam family "Bacterial small subunit ribosomal RNA", at positions 28 to 507 of the family's 1533-position model. The record is from RNAcentral.